This 75-nucleotide transfer RNA is filed under the name bacterium. Its description in RNAcentral is "tRNA-Gln". It matches the Rfam family "tRNA". From Rfam's summary of the family: Transfer RNA (tRNA) molecules are approximately 80 nucleotides in length. Their secondary structure includes four short double-helical elements and three loops (D, anti-codon, and T loops). The record is from RNAcentral. RNAcentral also lists the same sequence under 1 other name.
UGGGGGGUAGUGUAAAUGGCAGCACAGCGGGUUUUGGUCCCGCUAGUACGGGUUCGACUCCUGUCCCCCCAGCCA